GCUGUUAUAGCUCAGUGGUAGAGCACUUCCUUGGUAAGGAAGAGGUCACGAGUUCAAGCCUCGUUAACAGCU
RNAcentral lists this transfer RNA (72 nucleotides) under Alistipes sp. Its description in RNAcentral is "tRNA-Thr". It matches the Rfam family "tRNA". Rfam says of the family: Transfer RNA (tRNA) molecules are approximately 80 nucleotides in length. Their secondary structure includes four short double-helical elements and three loops (D, anti-codon, and T loops). Further hydrogen bonds mediate the characteristic L-shaped molecular structure. tRNAs have two regions of fundamental functional importance: the anti-codon, which is responsible for specific mRNA codon recognition, and the 3' end, to which the tRNAs corresponding amino acid is attached (by aminoacyl-tRNA synthetases). tRNAs cope with the degeneracy of the genetic code in two manners: having more than one tRNA (with a specific anti-codon) for a particular amino acid; and 'wobble' base-pairing, i.e. permitting non-standard base-pairing at the 3rd anti-codon position. Lineage: Bacteria; Pseudomonadati; Bacteroidota; Bacteroidia; Bacteroidales; Rikenellaceae. The record is from RNAcentral.